GACAGAGGAUGCAAACGUUGCUCGGAAUUACUGGGCGUAAAGCGCGUGUAGGCGGUCUGGUAAGUCGGACGUGAAAGCCCGGGGCUCAACCCCGGAAGCGCGCUCGAUACUGCCGGACUGGGGUCCUGAAGAGGAGAGCGGAAUUCCCGGUGUAGAGGUGAAAUUCGUAGAUAUCGGGAGGAACACCAGUGGCGAAGGCGGCUCUCUGGGCAGGUACCGACGCUGAGACGCGAAAGCGUGGGAAGCAAACAGGAUUAGAAACCCCCGUAGUCC
Molecule: ribosomal RNA, 273 nt
Filed under: uncultured bacterium
Lineage: Bacteria
Description: partial 16S ribosomal RNA
Rfam family: Bacterial small subunit ribosomal RNA
Source: RNAcentral